GCGCCCGUAGCUCAGAAGGAUAGAGCAGCGGUUUCCUAAACCGUUGGUCGGGGGUUCGAGUCCCUCCGGGCGCACCA
Molecule: transfer RNA, 77 nt
Filed under: Syntrophothermus lipocalidus
Lineage: Bacteria; Bacillati; Bacillota; Clostridia; Eubacteriales; Syntrophomonadaceae
Also listed under: 2 other names
Description: tRNA-Arg
Rfam family: tRNA
About the family: Transfer RNA (tRNA) molecules are approximately 80 nucleotides in length. Their secondary structure includes four short double-helical elements and three loops (D, anti-codon, and T loops). Further hydrogen bonds mediate the characteristic L-shaped molecular structure. tRNAs have two regions of fundamental functional importance: the anti-codon, which is responsible for specific mRNA codon recognition, and the 3' end, to which the tRNAs corresponding amino acid is attached (by aminoacyl-tRNA synthetases). tRNAs cope with the degeneracy of the genetic code in two manners: having more than one tRNA (with a specific anti-codon) for a particular amino acid; and 'wobble' base-pairing, i.e. permitting non-standard base-pairing at the 3rd anti-codon position.
Source: RNAcentral